Molecule: ribosomal RNA, 229 nt
Filed under: uncultured bacterium
Lineage: Bacteria
Description: partial 16S ribosomal RNA
Rfam family: Bacterial small subunit ribosomal RNA
Source: RNAcentral
UGCGCAGGCGGCUUUUUAAGACAGGUGUGAAAUCCCCGGGCUUAACCUGGGAAUGGCGCUUGUGACUGGAAGGCUAGAGUGCGGCAGAGGGGGAUGGAAUUCCUGGUGUAGCAGUGAAAUGCGUAGAUAUCAGGAGGAACACCGAUGGCGAAGGCAGUCCCCUGGGUCGACACUGACGCUCAGGCACGAAAGCGUGGGGAGCAAACAGGAUUAGAUACCCUGGUAGUCC